This 843-nucleotide ribosomal RNA is filed under the name uncultured bacterium. RNAcentral describes it as "bacterial SSU rRNA". It matches the Rfam family "Bacterial small subunit ribosomal RNA", at positions 103 to 973 of the family's 1533-position model. The record is from RNAcentral.
CGGGUGAGUAAUAUAUAGGUAAUGUGCCCUAGAGAGGGGGAUAACAGUUGGAAACGACUGCUAAGACCCCAUAUGCCUUUAAGACAGAAGUCUGCAAGGGAAAUAUUUAUAGCUCUAGGAUCGGCCUGUACGGUAUCAGCUAGUUGGUGAGGUAAUGGCUCACCAAGGCAAUGACGCCUAACUGGUUUGAGAGGAUGAUCAGUCACACUGGAACUGAGACACGGUCCAGACUCCUACGGGAGGCAGCAGUGGGGAAUAUUGCACAAUGGGGGAAACCCUGAUGCAGCAACCCGCGUGGAGGAUGACACAUUUCGGUGCGUAAACUCCUUUUAUAUAGGAAGAUAAUGACGGUACUAUAUGAAUAAGCACCGGCUAACUCCGUGCCAGCAGCCGCGGUAAUACGGAGGGUGCAAGCGUUACUCGGAAUCACUGGGCGUAAAGAGCGUGUAGGCGGGUAAAUAAGUCAGAUGUGAAAGCCUAUGCUCAACCAUAGAACUGCAUUUGAAACUGUUUACCUAGAGUAUGGGAGAGGUAGAUGGAAUUUCUGGUGUAGGGGUAAAAUCCGUAGAGAUCAGAAGGAAUACCGAUUGCGAAGCGAUCUACUGGAACAUUACUGACGCUGAGACGCGAAACUGGGGAGCAAACAGGAUUAGAUACCCUGGUAGUCCACGCCCUAAACGAUGUACACUAGUUGUUGCUAUACUAGAUAUAGCAGUAAUGCAGUUAACACAUUAAGUGUACCGCCUGGGGAGUACGGUCGCAAGAUUAAAACUCAAAGGAAUAGACGGGGACCGCACAAGCGUGGAGCAUGUGGUUUAAUUCGACGAUACGCGAAGAACCAUA